AAGACCUUGCGCUUUUGGAGCGGCCGAUGCCUGAUUAGCUAGUUGGUGAGGUAAUGGCUCACCAAGGCGUCGAUCAGUAGUUGGUCUGAGAGGACGACCAGCCACACUGGGACUGAGACACGGCCCAGACUCCUACGGGAGGCAGCAGUGGGGAAUUUUGGACAAUGGGCGCAAGCCUGAUCCAGCCAUGCCGCGUGAGUGAAGAAGGCCUUCGGGUUGUAAAGCUCUUUCAGUCGAGAAGAAAAGGUCACGGCUAAUAAUCGUGAUCCAUGACGGUAUCGACAGAAGAAGCACCGGCUAACUACGUGCCAGCAGCCGCGGUAAUACGUAGGGUGCGAGCGUUAAUCGAAAUUACUGGGCGUAAAGGGUGCGCAGGCGGCUUUGUAAGUCAGAUGUGAAAUCCCCGGGCUUAACCUGGGAACU
This 423-nucleotide ribosomal RNA is filed under the name uncultured bacterium. RNAcentral's name for it is "bacterial SSU rRNA". It matches the Rfam family "Bacterial small subunit ribosomal RNA", at positions 207 to 622 of the family's 1533-position model. The record is from RNAcentral.